AGUAGGGAAUCUUCGGCAAUGGACGAAAGUCUGACCGAGCAACGCCGCGUGAAUGAAGAAGGCCUUCGGGUUGUAAAAUUCUGUUAUAAGGGAAGAAAGACACGAGUAGGAAAUGGCUCGUGAGUGACGGUACCUUAUGAGAAAGCCACGGCUAACUACGUGCCAGCAGCCGCGGUAAUACGUAGGUGGCAAGCGUUAUCCGGAAUUAUUGGGCGUAAAGAGCGCGCAGGUGGUUGAUUAAGUCUGAUGUGAAAGCCCACGGCUUAACCGUGGAGGGUCAUUGGAAACUGGUCAACUUGAGUGCAGAAGAGGGAAGUGGAAUUCCAUGUGUAGCGGUGAAAUGCGUAGAGAUAUGGAGGAACACCAGUGGCGAAGGCGGCUUCCUGGUCUGUAACUGACACUGAGGCGCGAAAGCGUGGGGAGCAAA
RNAcentral lists this ribosomal RNA (427 nucleotides) under Turicibacter sanguinis. Its description in RNAcentral is "bacterial SSU rRNA". It matches the Rfam family "Bacterial small subunit ribosomal RNA", at positions 353 to 772 of the family's 1533-position model. The record is from RNAcentral. Lineage: Bacteria; Bacillati; Bacillota; Erysipelotrichia; Erysipelotrichales; Turicibacteraceae.